RNAcentral lists this ribosomal RNA (215 nucleotides) under uncultured fungus. RNAcentral's name for it is "partial small subunit ribosomal RNA". The stretch from base 40 to 215 matches the Rfam family "Eukaryotic small subunit ribosomal RNA", at positions 686 to 864 of the family's 1831-position model. The record is from RNAcentral. Lineage: Eukaryota; Fungi.
GGGUCAGUGGGUCGGUCGUGCCACUGGUAUGUACUGGCCCUACUGAUUCCUCCUUCUUGAAGAACUGUAAUGCCAUUAAUUUGGUGUUGCAGGGAAACAGGACUGUUACUUUGAAAAAAUUAGAGUGUUCAAAGCAGGCAAUCGCUUGAAUACAUUAGCAUGGAAUAAUAAAAUAGGACUCCGGUUUUAUUUUGUUGGUUUUAAAAACCGAGGUA